RNAcentral lists this ribosomal RNA (3560 nucleotides) under Triticum aestivum (bread wheat). RNAcentral's name for it is "partial small subunit ribosomal RNA". The stretch from base 1424 to 1537 matches the Rfam family "MIR1120/MIR1122 microRNA precursor family". Lineage: Eukaryota; Viridiplantae; Streptophyta; Magnoliopsida; Poales; Poaceae. The record is from RNAcentral.
CACAACCUCAGCCAUGUAUAAUAGGAAAAGAAAUAAAAGUUGUAACUUCAUCUGCUGAAUUUUCUGCGCUAGAAGAGAUAAGACCAUGGGCACAAGGACGAGAGAGCACACAGAACUUCUGCCACAUAUAGUACGAAAACAAAUAAAAAUUGUAACUUCACCCGCUGAAUUUUCUGCACUAGAAGAGAUAACACCAUGGACACCACAGAGCUGUGCAUCUUGCUAUGUUAAACCAGAAAAAGAGAGCACACGUACACAAUUAAGGGAAAAGAGGAAGGAAGCUAGCCAUAGAGAUGGCGGCUGAGGCGCUGGUGAGCGUCUCCACAGGGGUGAUGAACUCUGUCUUAGAGAAGCUAGCCACUUUAAUGGGGGAGGAGUACACAAAGCACAAGAGCAUGCAGCGAGAGGUGGCGUUUCUCAAGGAUGAGCUCAGCAGCAUCGAUGCAGUCCUCAAGAAGCUCGAGAACAUGGAAGAGGAACUGGAUCCACAGACCAGGGAGUGGAAGAACCAGGUGAUGGAAAUGGCGUUCCACAUCGAGGACUGCAUCGACGACUUUAUGCACGAAUCUGGUGAGGAUUCUAACAGAGGAGGUGUUGGCUUUGUUGGCAAAAUUGCUCAGUACAUCAACGCGUUGAGGACGCGUCACCAAUUCGCCAACCAAAUCCAGCAGCUGAAGACGUGGGUCAAAGAUGUGAGCGAACGUCGGAAAAGGAUGAUCACAAAACUUAAGAUGCCAGAACCAACCCACACCGACGAGGUACAAGAUCUCAUUGACAGCAUCAGAGAAUAUAUAAGAGAAAAAAAGGUACUUUUUCAUCAUUGAUGAUAUAUGGGACGAAUCAGUAUGGGAAAUUAUCCGUUGUGCAUUUCCAGAUAACCAACGAGGUAGCAAGGUAAUCACAACCACGAGAAUUGAGACAGUAGCUAAUGCAACCUGCAACUAUCGGCGUGAAUUCAUUUACAAGAUGAGUCCUCUUGAUGACCAAAACUCAAGAAAAUUAUUUUUCAGUAGAGUUGGACAGAUUGAUCUUCAGCCAUUAGAUGAGAUUUCGAAUGAAAUUCUACAAAAAUGUGGUGGUCUCCCGCUUGCUAUUGUCAGUAUUGCUAGUCUUUUUGCCGGUCAACCAACUAGAUCAGUGUCACAAUGGAAGCAUGUGUGCAAUUCUUUAAGCUCAAAUAUGAGAACAAAUCCAAGUUUGGAGGGCAUGAGACAGGUACUGAACCUUAGCUACAACAAUCUUCCUCAUCGUCUGAAAACUUGUUUGUUGUAUAUUGCCAUGUACCCAGAGGAUUACAUUAUUGCAAAGAAUGAUCUUGGAAGGCAAUGGGUGGCUGAAGGUUUCAUCGGCAAAAUACAUGGCAAGGAUGCAAAUGAGGUCGCUGAAAGUUGCUUUAAUGAGCUUGUCAAUAUGAACAUGAUCCAACCUACUCCCUCCGUUCGGAAAUUCUUGUCUUAGAAAUGGUUGUAUCUAGAACUAAAACAAGUCUAGAUACAACCAUUUUAAGACAAGUAUUUCCGAACAGAGGGAGUACACACAUUGGGUACGCUGGACAGGUCAUAGCAUGUAAAGUUCAUGAUAUGAUUCUCGAUCUAAUCAGACUCAUGUCGGAAGAAGAGAAGUUUCUUAGUGUGGUAGAUAACCUACAGGGCAUGAUCUCAGCAUUGCAGAGCAGGGUUCGUCGAAUGUCCCUUCAGUUGGAUUCUGGAGCUAAUGAAGGCACAGUACAAGCAAGCUUAAGCAUGCCACAUAUUCGAUCUCUUGCUCUUUUUGGCAAGUCUCGUUUCAAGUUCUCUAUGUAUGAACUCAAGUCCAUCCGAGUUCUGAAUAUGCAUUGUGAGGGUGGUCGCAUGGCUGAUAGGAUUGACCUCACACCAAUCUGUAAAUUGUUUCACCUCAGAUAUUUGAGCAUCAAUUCGAAAAAAAAGAAGAAAAAUAUGAGCAUCAGCAGCCCGAAUGAACAGAUACCAAUCCUUAUCCUGCCAACCCUAAUUGGGGACCUAAAACAUUUGGAGACUUUGGAAUUGCAUAUGGAUAUUACUGCCAUGCCAUGUGAUAUCAUUGAUUUGCCUUCCUUGUUGAAUCUACAUGUUCCUAUGGGAACAAGGCUACCUGAUGGAAUUCGUACGAUGAAGGCCCUACGUACUCUGGUGAACUUUGAUGUGCACAUGAACUUGGUGGAUAAUUUAACAGGUCUCGGUGAACUUACAAAUCUCAGGUAUCUUGAAUUUUGCUGCGAUAAUGCUGAACGUACCACCAGCCAACGGGGAAUUCUUAUGGAUACUUUCUGGUGUUCUGUGGCCAAACUUAUCAGGUGCAAUCUGAGACAUCUUUGGUCCAGUAGUAACAUAUUUUGUCCUCCAUGUGUUGAGUUGGCUUCUCUGGUCACUAGCAAUACUGAGAGUAAUCUUGUGGAACUCCAUGUUGCAGCAACUUGGACGUUUCCGAGGGUUCCAAUUUGGACCGGUCAGCACCGAAAGCUCUCAAAGUUGGGAAUUGCUGUUGAGAAGGUGAUGCAGGAGGACAUUGAUUUGCUCGGAAUGUUACCUAAUUUCCUGCACCUGUGGUUGUGGAUACGAAAAUUCCCGGAAAUAAGGAUUACCAUCCAUGGUGGUGAGGUGACAUUCCAGCUUCUCAAAUAUUUCAGAAUCACGUGCUUUGCCCCGUGCCUAACCUUUAUGGCAGGGGCAAUGCCCAAACUCCAAAAGUUGGAUCUGCAAACGCAUGAGCAUGGGGUGGAGCGUCAUGGCCCCUCGACAAUUGAGGGCGUGGAGCACCUGCUGACACUCAGGCAAGUCGACAUUGAUAUUUACUUUGAGGGAGCUGAUACAGAGUCACAAAGAAGGGCGGCGGACGCCGAGGCUAUCUUAAGGAAAGCCAUCCACGUCCAUCCAGGACAUCCGAGCAUCAAGAGCAGGCUUCAAAGUAACAGAAGCUCUUUUAUUCCGGUGGCAGUUCUGAGGGGGGCGAUGAGGUGGAGAGGCAACCGGACGAUGCAGUUGAUCGAUCUGCCGAGGCAGCCACACAUGCUCCAUCCACCGUUGCUGAUGGACGAACAGGGAAUUCACAGCAGGGGCCGGAGCCGCACAAAACCAACAUGCAUGGAAUAGUGCUCAAGCUCUCCACAGAUUUCGCACUACACAUCCGAUCCAAGGAUUCAUUUCAAGUGUGGACCAUUUCGAUGGUAGGAUAGAGACCGAUGCUGUGGCGUUUACCUGAUCCUCUGCUUCUGUUAUGACCAGCGGUGGUGUAGAGGCACGCCAGCACUGACCUGAAGAAGCUGAAGAGAAAACAGAGCAUUGGGUAACAGCACCACGGCGGCCUAAUCUGGUCAUUAAAAGAGUAUUAGGUAGACGGGGUAGUUUGACAAAUUAGUUCUGGACGCAAUACCCCUGUAAAUUAGUACAGGCCUAGUGUGAAGAACUGUUCUAUUUAUUUUUUACAAGAGUGUAAUAUUACUGAACUGCCAAGCAGUACUUAUUAGUGCACAGCAUGAUACAGGGUAAAUAACUUGGUAAAUUUUUGUCUGGGAAAUUCAAUCGUGCGUCUUCCGCGCCUGG